RNAcentral lists this ribosomal RNA (460 nucleotides) under uncultured bacterium. RNAcentral's name for it is "partial 16S ribosomal RNA". It matches the Rfam family "Bacterial small subunit ribosomal RNA", at positions 338 to 795 of the family's 1533-position model. The record is from RNAcentral.
CCUACGGGAGGCAGCAGUGAGGAAUAUUGGUCAAUGGACGCAAGUCUGAACCAGCCAUGUCGCGUGCAGGAAGACGGCUCUAUGAGUUGUAAACUGCUUUUGUACGAGGGUAAACGUAGAUAUGCGUAUCUGUUUGAAAGUAUCGUACGAAUAAGGAUCGGCUAACUCCGUGCCAGCAGCCGCGGUAAUACGGAGGAUUCAAGCGUUAUCCGGAUUUAUUGGGUUUAAAGGGUGCGUAGGCGGUCGGAUAAGUUAGUUGUGAAAUCCCGAGGCUCAACUUCGGAAUUGCCUCUGAUACUGUUCGGCUAGAGAGUAGUUGCGGUAGGCGGAAUGUGUGGUGUAGCGGUGAAAUGCUUAGAGAUCAUAAAGAACACCGAUUGCGAAGGCAGCUUACCAGGCUACUUCUGACGUUGAGGCACGAAAGCGUGGGGAGCAAACAGGAUUAGAUACCCUUGUAGUC